AUAACUUUCUCGACCUUUUGGCUAAGAUCAAGUAUAGUAUCUAUUCUUAUCUUUUCUUUUCUUAAAUAGGUCUCUUAAGACUCUUAGCUUGAACAUUGUGAUAAACAUAACUGUUAGUAUCCUCUUGAGCAUUCAACUCUCGCUAGAUGCAUGGGAACCCCAC
Molecule: non-coding RNA, 163 nt
Organism: Nicotiana sylvestris (wood tobacco)
Lineage: Eukaryota; Viridiplantae; Streptophyta; Magnoliopsida; Solanales; Solanaceae
Source: Rfam